Mangifera indica (mango) is the source of this 2970-nucleotide long non-coding RNA. RefSeq lists it as uncharacterized. The record is from RefSeq and is a predicted model, not a curated record. The transcript has 2 exons. Lineage: Eukaryota; Viridiplantae; Streptophyta; Magnoliopsida; Sapindales; Anacardiaceae.
UCAUCCUUUCACCUAUUUAUUUGAUGUGCAUGAGUCUUCAUACGCAUAUAAAGUUUUGAUGUAGUAGAUGUUGAGAAUUUCAAAAUAAUCUGCAAUAUAGACCUAAUUGAUUGAACUGUGAGCAGUGUUAUUUAUUGUAUUUGAUAUGGUAGUUAUUAAUGUUUCUUGAAAAGUAAUGGUAAAUCUGAAUCAUGUUGCUAAAAUAAACAAUUCCGUGCUGAGUUUAGUUAAUAGAAAUUUGGUUAUUUCCCUUAGGAUAAAAGUGUCUAGUGACUAGCUAUCAAGGUGUCAUGUGGAGUGCCUAGUUGACAUGGGUGAGAGAUUGUCCUGUUUUUAUAUAUAUUGGUUAAGGACAUUCUAAUUCAACGUUGUUAACAUUUUGCCAAGCACAUAUCUGGAGGAGUCUGCUUCAUUCUGCAUCGUUAAGCUUUAUUUUGAUAUUUUCAAUUGGAUGUGAUUAAUUUGUUCAAUUUGAGUAAAAUCGGAUUGAAUGGAAGUUGAUUGUAUGUAUGGUGUCAUAUAGUUUAGUAGUACAAGAUUAGAUAAGAUCGUGUUUUGUGAAUAAUCACAUUUUCAUCUCUAAGUUAAAAUUAAUGUAAACAAAAAAGAUAAUUAUAGGAAAUUUAAAUAUUUUAACUAUCUUCAUUACAAGUCAUUUAGGCGUAAGAUAAGACCGUACUAUGUGAAUAAUCUCAUAGUUGAGAUGUGGCCUUUGGGCAUAUGUUAAGACUCUCCCUGUGAGAUUAGUUAUCCCGAGAAUGUGAAACUAAAUGGUGGGUCCUGAUUCUACCCCUUCUAAACAUCAAACAUGGUUUUGGGACUUUGAUAAUAAAUAUCAUAGUUUAAUCUCAUGUCCUCGUCAUUGCUACAAGGAGUAUUUGGUACAUCGGAUAGAAUGGAAUUGGAUACAGGAUUGUAUUGAUCUCAUAAUUUUGGUCCAUUAAUAGUCUCUUAUUGUGGGAUAACCAAUUUCUGUAUGAUCUUUGGUUACCAAUGCUGACAAAGUUACAUGGUAUGACAUAAAUGGACAAGAUGCCUACUUUUUUUUUUUUUUCUAAAAAUUUAGGGGACCUUUUGACAUAUGACACAUGGCAAAGGAAAACUUAAUAUUGAAUGGUCAAGAUUUGUGUCAUUUAUAUGUUUCCUUUACUGUCAGUUGGGACUUGGAAGAAAUGGGAAGAAAUUGCAUUCUUUUUUAUUUUUUUGUAUUUUUCCCUUUGAUUAGAGUUGAUUUUAUACAUACGCAUUCUCUACAAUUCAGGAAACAUCAUAAUUACAAAAAUAUUACAAUUGAUUCUUUUCUGAAUUGACACUUUGCUUAUUUUUCCUCAUUAUCAACCAUUAAAACACCAUAAAAACACAGUUAAGAUGUACAGAAAAAUUAUGGAGAAGCAAACUGUGUCUUUAAAACGAAAAUUUCAAUAUUCCUUUCUCGUCACACAAAUCAGCUUUCAAAUCCAAUGGUCAAAAUAUUGCCCAAAAAAUGCCAAAAAGCAAUUGAGUUUGUGUUUUAUCCUUUUUAGUUUCAUAAGAGUGAACAGAAAGUUUUACAGCCGAAUAUUCAAUAAACUAAGAAUUAUUGUACUUCCGUUACUAAAGAGUCAACUUUCAUUGAGUUUGAUAACUUUUUGUUUUUGAUCGGUGAUGAACUCAUUAUUUUCAAAACCUUCAUCUAAUUCUUAAUCUCCAUACCCAUAAAUAUCAAGUCCUAGAGUGAAAAAGCCUGAGUAGUUGAGACAGACAGUACAUUAAGAAGCCAUAAUUCUAGAUUUCAAGUGCCACAAAAUCUUUGAGUUCAUCUUUGUAUUUGUUGUUAGUUAAUUUGGGUCACCAAAACAAAAUUGGGAGGAGACUCAUGUUCAAUCCAAGAGGCUUACAUUUGAAAUUGAGGAUGUCUGUGCCAUAGAAGAUAGCGACUUAUUAUUUAGAGGACCUAGUGGUUGGUUUGCAACUGAGGAUGCUUAUGAAGUGGAAGGCUGAGUGUGAUUGAGAAGAGAGAUUUGAGAAGGUACUUAAAGUUCUUGUUUAGUUAUCAGUAUUUCAUUUUGGACUGUAUAAAGGACGUAAGGUUAAAGUUGAUGAGUUGGCAGUCACAGAAUAUAUAGCUGAAAACAGAUGGAGAUAUGGUAUCUACAAUUAAUAAAUAAUUUGAAUCAAUGCCUUCUGACUUCUUGUGGCAUCCAUAUCUCCUUCUUUUUGUCUUGUAUAUCAGUAAUCAUGUGAAAGGAUUUUAUUUUGGUCUGGCAUUCAACUGUCCUUUGUGAUGUUGCAUGGACAUGUUCAGCUAUCUGAACUGGUAUUUUAUGAAACUUGUUAAACUAGUUUGAUAAAAUUAAAUUCAUAUAGAUUUACAGAAUUUGCUUCACCCAAAAAAUUUUAAAGGGUGAUACAUGUAGAUCUUUACACAAUUAGUUUUCUAAAUACUUGGAGUUUGGUUUUUCUUAUAACAGUCUUGACUGUAUUAUAUGUGUCCUGAUAUUGGCUCUUACAUGUUCAAAUCUUCUCUUAUAUCUAGUACAAGUGCAACAAAUCCAAACUUGCGAACAUUCUUAUUGUGAAAAUAAAAGUAAAUAAGAUGACUUUCGACCAUAAACCACCACACCCAUCUUUUUUAUCUAGACUUCCCAGAUCAAGCUCCCUUAACUGCAUCCGUUCCAUAACUUCUCUUUUUCUCUCUUUCCAUUUCCAUUUCCACUUCUCUUUUCCAUCAUUCAUCAUCUCUUCACUGUUUGCCGAUGCUUUUGUUGGUUGUCUCAUGAAAGUUAUUGCAUAAGAAAGAGGGCAGAGUGGAAGAAAAGAGAAAAAAUGAGUUUCGUUUUAGCCUUUCCAUGGAGUUUGGUACAGAAUAGGAAGCUUCACAAAGUAUAAAGGAACCAAUUAAUUGGAGAGGUAAAAGAAUAGUGAAUUUGAUACACUUAUGUGAAAGAAAUUAAUUGAAGAAAAGUGAGACUAAAGAUUGUAAGAGAGAAU